This 2925-nucleotide ribosomal RNA is filed under the name Salmonella enterica subsp. enterica serovar Kentucky. Its description in RNAcentral is "23S ribosomal RNA". It matches the Rfam family "Bacterial large subunit ribosomal RNA". Lineage: Bacteria; Pseudomonadati; Pseudomonadota; Gammaproteobacteria; Enterobacterales; Enterobacteriaceae. The record is from RNAcentral.
GGGUUGUGAGGUUAAGCGACUAAGCGUACACGGUGGAUGCCCUGGCAGUCAGAGGCGAUGAAGGGCGUGCUAAUCUGCGAUAAGCGCCGGUAAGGUGAUAUGAACCGUUAUAACCGGCGAUACCCGAAUGGGGAAACCCAGUGUGACUCGUCACACUAUCAUUAACUGAAUCCAUAGGUUAAUGAGGCGAACCGGGGGAACUGAAACAUCUAAGUACCCCGAGGAAAAGAAAUCAACCGAGAUUCCCCCCAGUAGCGGCGAGCGAACGGGGAGGAGCCCAGAGCCUGAAUCAGCAUGUGUGUUAGUGGAAGCGUCUGGAAAGGCGCGCGAUACAGGGUGACAGCCCCGUACACAAAAGCGCAUGUGCUGUGAGCUCGAUGAGUAGGGCGGGACACGUGGUAUCCUGUCUGAAUAUGGGGGGACCAUCCUCCAAGGCUAAAUACUCCUGACUGACCGAUAGUGAACCAGUACCGUGAGGGAAAGGCGAAAGAACCCCGGCGAGGGGAGUGAAAAGAACCUGAAACCGUGUACGUACAAGCAGUGGGAGCACAGGUUUACCUGUGUGACUGCGUACCUUUUGUAUAAUGGGUCAGCGACUUAUAUUCUGUAGCAAGGUUAACCGAAUAGGGGAGCCGGAGGGAAACCGAGUCUUAAUUGGGCGUUAAGUUGCAGGGUAUAGACCCGAAACCCGGUGAUCUAGCCAUGGGCAGGUUGAAGGUUGGGUAACACUAACUGGAGGACCGAACCGACUAAUGUUGAAAAAUUAGCGGAUGACCUGUGGCUGGGGGUGAAAGGCCAAUCAAACCGGGAGAUAGCUGGUUCUCCCCGAAAGCUAUUUAGGUAGCGCCUCGUGAAUUCAUCUCCGGGGUAGAGCACUGUUUCGGCUAGGGGGGCAUCCCGGCUUACCAACCCGAUGCAAACUGCGAAUACCGGAGAAUGUUAUCACGGGAGACACACGGCGGGUGCUAACGUCCGUCGUGAAGAGGGAAACAACCCAGACCGCCAGCUAAGGUCCCAAAGUCAUGGUUAAGUGGGAAACGAUGUGGGAAGGCCCAGACAGCCAGGAUGUUGGCUUAGAAGCAGCCAUCAUUUAAAGAAAGCGUAAUAGCUCACUGGUCGAGUCGGCCUGCGCGGAAGAUGUAACGGGGCUAAACCAUGCACCGAAGCUGCGGCAGCGACGCUGAUGCGUUGUUGGGUAGGGGAGCGUUCUGUAAGCCUGUGAAGGUGUGUCGUGAGGCAUGCUGGAGGUAUCAGAAGUGCGAAUGCUGACAUAAGUAACGAUAAAGCGGGUGAAAAGCCCGCUCGCCGGAAGACCAAGGGUUCCUGUCCAACGUUAAUCGGGGCAGGGUGAGUCGACCCCUAAGGCGAGGCCGAAAGGCGUAGUCGAUGGGAAACAGGUUAAUAUUCCCGUACUUGGUGUUACUGCGAAGGGGGGACGGAGAAGGCUAUGUUGGCCGGGCGACGGUUGUCCCGGUUUAAGCGUGUAGGCUGGUUUUCCAGGCAAAUCCGGAAAAUCAAGGCUGAGGCGUGACGACGAGGCACUACGGUGCUGAAGCAACAAAUGCCCUGCUUCCAGGAAAAGCCUCUAAGCAUCAGGUAACAUCAAAUCGUACCCCAAACCGACACAGGUGGUCAGGUAGAGAAUACCAAGGCGCUUGAGAGAACUCGGGUGAAGGAACUAGGCAAAAUGGUGCCGUAACUUCGGGAGAAGGCACGCUGACACGUAGGUGAAGUGAUUUACUCACGGAGCUGAAGUCAGUCGAAGAUACCAGCUGGCUGCAACUGUUUAUUAAAAACACAGCACUGUGCAAACACGAAAGUGGACGUAUACGGUGUGACGCCUGCCCGGUGCCGGAAGGUUAAUUGAUGGGGUCAGCGCAAGCGAAGCUCCUGAUCGAAGCCCCGGUAAACGGCGGCCGUAACUAUAACGGUCCUAAGGUAGCGAAAUUCCUUGUCGGGUAAGUUCCGACCUGCACGAAUGGCGUAAUGAUGGCCAGGCUGUCUCCACCCGAGACUCAGUGAAAUUGAACUCGCUGUGAAGAUGCAGUGUACCCGCGGCAAGACGGAAAGACCCCGUGAACCUUUACUAUAGCUUGACACUGAACAUUGAGCCUUGAUGUGUAGGAUAGGUGGGAGGCUUUGAAGUGUGGACGCCAGUCUGCAUGGAGCCGACCUUGAAAUACCACCCUUUAAUGUUUGAUGUUCUAACGUGGACCCGUAAUCCGGGUUGCGGACAGUGUCUGGUGGGUAGUUUGACUGGGGCGGUCUCCUCCUAAAGAGUAACGGAGGAGCACGAAGGUUGGCUAAUCCUGGUCGGACAUCAGGAGGUUAGUGCAAUGGCAUAAGCCAGCUUGACUGCGAGCGUGACGGCGCGAGCAGGUGCGAAAGCAGGUCAUAGUGAUCCGGUGGUUCUGAAUGGAAGGGCCAUCGCUCAACGGAUAAAAGGUACUCCGGGGAUAACAGGCUGAUACCGCCCAAGAGUUCAUAUCGACGGCGGUGUUUGGCACCUCGAUGUCGGCUCAUCACAUCCUGGGGCUGAAGUAGGUCCCAAGGGUAUGGCUGUUCGCCAUUUAAAGUGGUACGCGAGCUGGGUUUAGAACGUCGUGAGACAGUUCGGUCCCUAUCUGCCGUGGGCGCUGGAGAACUGAGGGGGGCUGCUCCUAGUACGAGAGGACCGGAGUGGACGCAUCACUGGUGUUCGGGUUGUCAUGCCAAUGGCACUGCCCGGUAGCUAAAUGCGGAAGAGAUAAGUGCUGAAAGCAUCUAAGCACGAAACUUGCCCCGAGAUGAGUUCUCCCUGAGACUUAAAGUCUCCUGAAGGAACGUUGAAGACGACGACGUUGAUAGGCCGGGUGUGUAAGCGCAGCGAUGCGUUGAGCUAACCGGUACUAAUGAACCGUGAGGCUUAACCUUACAACGCCGAAG